CAGCACCUCAAGUGGUCAGGAUGAUUAUCGGGCCUAAAGCAUCCGUAGCCUGUUCUGUAAGUUUCCGGUUAAAUCCAUUAGCUCAACUAAUGGGCUGCCGAAAAUACUGCAGAACUAGGGAGUGGGAGAGGUAGACGGUACUCGGUAGGAAGGGGUAAAAUCCUUUGAUCUAUUGAUGACCACCUGUGGCGAAGGCGGUCUACCAGAACACGUUCGACGGUGAGGGAUGAAAGCUGGGGGAGCAAACCGGAUUAGAUACCCGAGUAGUCC
RNAcentral lists this ribosomal RNA (270 nucleotides) under uncultured archaeon. RNAcentral's name for it is "partial 16S ribosomal RNA". It matches the Rfam family "Archaeal small subunit ribosomal RNA", at positions 477 to 747 of the family's 1478-position model. The record is from RNAcentral.